This 444-nucleotide ribosomal RNA is filed under the name uncultured bacterium. RNAcentral describes it as "bacterial SSU rRNA". It matches the Rfam family "Bacterial small subunit ribosomal RNA", at positions 331 to 792 of the family's 1533-position model. The record is from RNAcentral.
CCAGACUCCUACGGGAGGCAGCAGUGGGGAAUAUUGCACAAUGGGGGAAACCCUGAUGCAGCGACGCCGCGUGAGUGAAGAAGUAUUUCGGUAUGUAAAGCUCUAUCAGCAGGGAAGAAGUUGACGGUACCUGAGUAAGAAGCCCCGGCUAACUACAUGCCAGCAGCCGCGGUAAUACGUAGGGGGCAAGCGUUAUCCGGAUUUACUGGGUGUAAAGGGAGCGUAGACGGCAAGACAAGCCUGGAGUGAAAGGCGGGGGCCCAACCCCCGGACUGCUCUGGGAACUGUCUGGCUGGAGUGCAGGAGGGGUAAGUGGAAUUCCUAGUGUAGCGGUGAAAUGCGUAGAUAUUAGGAGGAACACCAGUGGCGAAGGCGGCUUACUGGACUGUAACUGACGUUGAGGCUCGAAAGCGUGGGGAGCAAACAGGAUUAGAUCCCCGGGUA